Epinephelus fuscoguttatus (brown-marbled grouper) is the source of this 103-nucleotide small nuclear RNA. The record is from RefSeq and is a predicted model, not a curated record. Lineage: Eukaryota; Metazoa; Chordata; Actinopteri; Perciformes; Serranidae.
CUGCUGCCGCAGUACAUAUUAAAAAACUGAAUUGAUAAAGUGAUGAUUAGCAUUACACCUGCAGGAGGAAGAGACUGAAAUCAGGAAAGCACUUUAUGUGACU